GGGUUGUGAGGUUAAGCGACUAAGCGUACACGGUGGAUGCCCUGGCAGUCAGAGGCGAUGAAGGACGUGCUAAUCUGCGAUAAGCGUCGGUAAGGUGAUAUGAACCAUUAUAACCGGCGAUUUCCGAAUGGGGAAACCCAGUGUGAUUCGUCACACUAUCAUUAACUGAAU
This 171-nucleotide ribosomal RNA is filed under the name Shigella boydii. RNAcentral's name for it is "partial 23S ribosomal RNA". It matches the Rfam family "Bacterial large subunit ribosomal RNA", at positions 1 to 163 of the family's 2925-position model. Lineage: Bacteria; Pseudomonadati; Pseudomonadota; Gammaproteobacteria; Enterobacterales; Enterobacteriaceae. The record is from RNAcentral.